Varroa destructor (honeybee mite) is the source of this 797-nucleotide long non-coding RNA. RefSeq lists it as uncharacterized. The record is from RefSeq and is a predicted model, not a curated record. NCBI's taxonomy places the organism in Eukaryota, Metazoa, Arthropoda, Arachnida, Mesostigmata, Varroidae.
GGCGAGGUGCGGCAUAAGCUUUAUAUCAAUUACUUGAAGCUACACAGACCCUCUGUAAGUGAUGACGAUCGGCCAUUGCAUCAGCGGAUUGCGAGUGCUACGUACGAGUAUGAGAUGUAACGCCAAUUACAUGAUCAUCCGAAGUAAAAGGAACUAUCUGAAUGUGCAUGUACAGAAGAAGAAUCGGAAUGUGCUUAGGCUUAAAGGCUAAAGCGCUUACGCUUCUAUAAGCGAACUGUAAUACCAUAGCUCAUAUGAGAAAAUGUCGUCAAGGAACGGGACGAGUCACGGCUCCCUAACCGGAAGAAUAACGCUCUUACACGGAUGGAAAGUAACUGGUUUAAGGACGGGGUAAUAGACACCAGCAUGAUGACUGAUCCAAGAGGACGUUACGGACUGAACCAAAGACAGAUUUUACAGAAAUUAUACAUAUCGGUUAACUUCAUUAAACAUUAUUGUGUGAGAUCAUGAAGAGCGAAACAACCAGAAAGAGACCCCCACUGAGGAAAUCGCAGUCAAUAUACCUGGGAGACGAACUUACAACAAACAAGGCUAUCGAAGAAACUUUGGAUCCCGGCCGUGGCCGAGUUUAGUCGGUGCAAAGCAAUAACGACGAGGGAGGUUAUCAGGAACGAAAAAAGUCCUGGAGAGGCCUACUUGGCGAGGUAGAACAACAUCUAUGGGAACGCCCCUAGAAAAUUGUAAGGGGCAAAGUGAAAGGCAAACGCAGAAAACCUGUGCAAAAAAAAGAGACGAAAUUCGAGAAAAAAUUUUCGAUUUACUCUGAAUUCAACGAA